This 254-nucleotide long non-coding RNA is filed under the name Elaeis guineensis (African oil palm). RNAcentral's name for it is "long non-coding RNA (EGUI_LNC008225)". Lineage: Eukaryota; Viridiplantae; Streptophyta; Magnoliopsida; Arecales; Arecaceae. The record is from RNAcentral.
AGUUUUUGAAGCACCAGAAGGACUUUCCAUGGAUCAAACAAAGCCAGCAAGCAUUUAAAGAAUUAAAGAGCUAUCUCAGCUCUGUGCCACUUCUUAGCAAGCUCGAGUUGGAUGAGAAGUUAUACAUCUACAUAGCGGUCUCAUCAAUUGCAAUAAGCUCAAUCCUCAUCCACGAGGAGGGCAAGAUUUAGAGGUCGAUUUAUUAUAUCAACAAAUCCUCCACGAUGCAAAAAUUAGAUACUUGAGGCUUGAGA